GACGAACGCUGGCGGCGUGCCUAAUACAUGCAAGUUGAGCGCUGAAGGUUGGUACUUGUACCAACUGGAUGAGCAGCGAACGGGUGAGUAACGCGUGGGGAAUCUGCCUUUGAGCGGGGGACAACAUUUGGAAACGAAUGCUAAUACCGCAUAAAAACUUUAAACACAAGUUUGAAGUUUGAAAGAUGCAAUUGCAUCACUCAAAGAUGAUCCCGCGUUGUAUUAGCUAGUUGGUGAGGUAAAGGCUCACCAAGGCGAUGAUACAUAGCCGACCUGAGAGGGUGAUCGGCCACAUUGGGCCUGAGACACGGCCCAAACUCCUACGGGAGGCAGCAGUAGGGAAUCUUCGGCAAUAGACGAAAGUCUGACCGAGCAACGCCGCGUGAGUGAAGAAGGUUGUCGGAUCGUAAAACUCUGUUGGUAGAGAAGAACGUUGGUGAGAGUGGAAAGCUCAUCAAGUGACGGUAACUACCCAGAAAGGGACGGCUAACUACGUG
This 497-nucleotide ribosomal RNA is filed under the name uncultured bacterium. Its description in RNAcentral is "partial 16S ribosomal RNA". It matches the Rfam family "Bacterial small subunit ribosomal RNA", at positions 28 to 507 of the family's 1533-position model. The record is from RNAcentral.